Molecule: ribosomal RNA, 253 nt
Filed under: uncultured bacterium
Lineage: Bacteria
Description: partial 16S ribosomal RNA
Rfam family: Bacterial small subunit ribosomal RNA
Source: RNAcentral
UACGGAGGAGGCAAGCGUUAUCCGGAAUUAUUGGGCGUAAAGCGUCCGCAGGUGGCACUUCAAGUCUGUCGUCAAAGACUGGGGCUUAACUUCGGAAAGGCAGUGGAAACUGAACAGCUAGAGUAUGGUAGGGGCAGAGGGAAUUCCUGGUGUAGCGGUGAAAUGCGUAGAUAUCAGGAAGAACAUCGGUGGCGAAGGCGCUCUGCUGGACCAUAACUGACACUCAGGGACGAAAGCUAGGGGAGCGAAUGGG